GUGGACUGGAUAUAGUUUAUUCAGACAAUAACAUGAAAGACUGUUGUCAACAAACCUCCAACAAUUCUUCUUGAUUUUUAAGUCGGUUGCUUUUGCCUAGUCAAUCAAACAAUUUCAUUUUUACAUAUCUUGACUGUGAGGGAUGGACUCAAAUAUCCUAUUUCGAACAAAGAUUGUGUUAACAUCACUUCAUUCCCAGCCCAUUACUGCUUAAAUAUUUCUUACCUGCAAGGCCAGAUUAAGAAAUUAUAGAACCAGGGACUUUGUAAGUAACAGCAUUCAGCCAAUAACUGAAACUUGCUGGACUGAAUCUUCGAUCUGACUGUCAUUCAACCUUUGAGCAAAGCCCUUCUCUAUGAGUGGGCCUCCAAGAGAGUGGGAUUUUGCACAAAACACACAUUCACACAUUAGUGUAAUGCACAGUGUUAAAUAGGAAAAAUCCAAGUAACCUAAUUCUAAUCAAUAUUUGAUCCACCAUAGAAAUAUAACCCCCAGAUGGUUCCUAAAUGGCUCUUCCUAUUCAAUUCAGGACAGGCAGCUAUUAUUAGCGUACCCAUGAGGCAAUUUGGUUCCACAACCCUUACUUUGGAUUAUAAUGAAUGUCUAUUUUGGGUCAUAAUGCAACAAGCUUCCUUUUACAUAUUUGGCUUUUUUGCGGCAACAAUUGCAAACAUUGCUUGCUUCUAUGGCCCAAUAUGGAUUUGGAUGCAAUGACUUAAGCAAACACCUGCAUUAAUCUGGUCCUGGUUACUGGUAUGAUACAGUAUAGUUGGUCAAGGUAAACACUAAUCUUGCGACGUCUAUUCUGCAUGUAGUGAUCACUGACCUGUGUACUAAACAAGAUCUAUUUGAUAUAGUCUAACAUCUGUGUGUGUCGCAUAGCGUAUGGCCAGAGUUAGCAGUUAUGGUAGGAAGGCUAUAUAAUCUGUUUGGCCUACUUAUGAGUUUCCACCCACAGGAUUGCCAUCAGUUACCAGAGCACAUCCCACACCCCUGGAAGCCUCCCUGGGAGCUCUCAUCAUGACAUACCAAGAUACUCAGAAAAAGAAAGCCAAUUAACCUCAUCAAGGCAGAGCUGCCCAACAUUGCUGGGAAGAGUGAUCCUAAACUGGGACACAUGAUGAUGACUCCGGACUAGGAUGUUGACGCCUCUGUGGACUUCAAGGAGCACAUCAGCCCUGAUCGGAUCCAUUGCCUGUGCAACUGCAUGUGCCAUAGACGGGAAUUUGCCUGCUUCCAUGUGCUUUGUGGGGCUAGGGUGCAUUACACUGCAGUAGUGGCACCCCGCCCAUACGGGCUGUCAAUCAUUGGAAAUAUUCAUUCAAUGCACUCCUCCCCGUAUUAAAUAUGGGUUUGUCUGUUAAGAUUUUUAGCCUCUGGAUAGUUGAACAAAACCUCCCAAAUGUAAGUCUUUGAGAUGUGGGAUAUGCCCUGUUCAUGGCUACAUGGGUCGACGACUACGUAUCACACAGUGACCUAGAUUUCAUUUCAGUUAUUGUAAUGCAUCAUUGCAAUGCAGUUCCAACCUCAUGAAAAUCAAGGAGUCUAAUUCAAAAUUACGGAGCAUGGAAAAAAACUCUCCUACUGUUUUUCCAGUAGGAUCAUGGUGCAUGAUUUCUCUUUCAAAUGAAAUGUUCUGAUAGGGCUACCAUGAAGCCAUGGAAUGUUUAAAUUAGGGUAGGGCUGGUCCUGCAUGUCCCAUGUGCAAAAUGCACAUCCAAAACUGUAGGUUGAAAUAUAUUUUUCACCUCUCAAGUGUCGGCUGACUAAUUUAGGGCUAAGAUCUUACAAAUGUUCGCCAAUGUUUAAGGCCCAGUUCUUGUUUAUGGCCUACUGCUCGUUUGACUCAUUAUGUACCCUUCUUUAUUUGACAUAAAUGUUUGAAAAUCAACCCACUCUCUUCCCUUUGCGUACAUAUAACACGGGUUCACACUUAACAAUUUCGUGCUAUGCAUACGCCAAAGUCCUUUUUUGCGUGCAGUGCAGACGCGAUCUCCUCCCAUUAAGAACUUUGGUGAAUAAAUGCGAUAUUAAAGUUUUACCUUUACCCUUUGACGUUCUUUCAAGAAAAAAAGUAGAUCUACGGCUUUUAAACGAUUAGUCAAUCUUCGGGAAAUCCGUGCCUCGAUGAUGGUGACGUCAAAUAGGUUUCAGUUGGUGCGUGUCAAACGAUUUUAUUGACCAUUAUUAUUAAUGGUAGGAGAUCGCGUCUCAACUGCACGCAUAAAAAGGACUUUGGCGUACGCAUAGCACGACAUUGUGUGAACCCGUGUUAUAUGUACGCAAAAGGAAGAGAGUGGGUUGUUGAAAAUAUUUGAGAGUUAGGAGUUGGUGAAAACAGGAGAACUGAGCAAAUCAUGAUAUCUUUCAUUGAAGAUUUUAUGUACAGGGCUUUAAGUGCAUCAGCGCAGUUGAAACUCUACCUUACGUAAAGUGGAUUGCUGUGUGUUGCAUGAAGUUACUUUUGUAAUUAAUAAUUGGUCUGGUUGAUGAGCAUUGUGGGUAAUGUAGUCAUUUAAGAAUCUUGGUUGCGCUUGUAGGUCCUUCUAUCAUUGACGUUGGUUCCAAGUAUCCCAGGACAACUUAUCUUCAAAACAAAGAACAAUUAAAAAACACAAUGGCAACUUUCAUCAUUUACUUUGGGACAAUAACUUUACCAGACCUUCAAAACAGAAUAAAUUAAACACAAAUAGCCCAGGGGCAAGUAAAGAUGACAUUCUCCUUUUCAGCCUAAAAUACAGAAAAUCUACUUGUUUGCAAAAUCAAUCAAUUGGAAUUAAAAUAUAGAUGACUCAUUAAUAAAUUUGGGAUUUUAGUUGUUUGUGUUUUAUUUGUAAAUGUGUCAAUAAGAUUUUGUGAAUAUGUUUUGUGUACUGAGGAGUUUAUACAGAAUUGUUUUGUGAAACAAUCAAAUAUGCAGAAAAAAAAAAUAAAAAGAAAGAAAUGGGUUCUAUAAUGGUUUCUCAGCUGGCUCUAGUUAGAACAGUUUUUGGUUUCUAACAGAAACCUAAUUUAUUCCAUGUACCACUCAGGAUUUACUCGGAACUCAAGAAAGUUCUACCUGAAACCUGAAGGUGUUCUUCCAGAAACCAAAGACGAUUUUCACCACAAGGACAGUUAAGGAAUGCUUAUGGGGCAGAAAAUAACCUGGUUUUCAGGGGUGUUGGCCAGUAACUGAAAUAUUGCUUGUUCUAAUCCCUCUAACGAGGAGAAUAUAUAUAGAAUAUUUUGUGUUGCCCUUAAGCAAGGCGCUUAACGUUAUUGCACCUGCACGUCAUUCUGAAUAAGAGUGCUAAAUGGAAAUGGAAGCAUUUUUUGUGCAAUUUGAUGGUCACUAAAUUUUAACAAUAUAAAUCGACAUUGUUUACGCUAGACUACUUGUGCAAACAAGUUGGGUACCACUGAAAGGGUUCUGUGUCCACACGCUUGCACGAACACAAAUGAUUGCAUAUGAAUCAUGUCGCAAAAGUCAGUAAUAUCAAUAAUUGCAUAAGUCUUAGACUGCAAUUUUUAACGCACCCACACGAAUUCUCAGAAAUUAGGAACACAAGAAUGCUGCCAGAUGUUUAGCAAGUGAGGUAAACAGGCUAUAUAUAUAUAUAUAUUUUUUUAAACUGUUAUGCUAAAUACACAGGAUAAACCAUGUAUCUACGAGAUCUACGUAGAUCUUAAAAUAAUUCCCUCAGUGACAGGGACCUAAGGGAACGCUUAAUGUAUUGUGAUUAUUUCUAUUUCAUUUAAUUAGAGUAGGUUACAUGUUACAGUGAAAACAUUAAGACUAAUGACCUGUAACAAGAAGGAUCUGUUAAAAUGAAGGGCUAUCAAUAUUUCUUAUUUUAAUUGUGAGACCAAGAGAAAAAUUUAGAUCACUUGAAUAAUAACAUUGCUACGCAUGCUCCCUCUUAUCAUUUGUCCUAGAAUGGGUAUAGCAUAGAAUUUUCGAGGCUUAAAAUAAGAGGGUGGGAUAGGGCGGGGAGUAGCCUACCGAGCGCAUACUCUGGCAGUAUUUGGGACUGUGUGUAUUUCCAUGAUCGUUUUCAUUUCGUUACAAAUUCAACUGUUCAUUUAGCUUAAUUAUUCUAUUGUUAACGGUUAUGAAUUGUAUGACAAUAUAGGCUAGCCGUGCGUGCGUGCGUCCAUUUCCAACAGGCGUGUUGUUAUUGCGUAUAACAAGACAUAUUUACGAGUAGGCCUACCUAAUUACGCGGAUCAUCCAGAUAUGAAUAUCUAUUUUGCCUUAUUUGCUUUUAUGGCACCUGUUGUUAUUGUUAUGAUAACGGUAGGGGUUUCAUGUGUAAUUCAUCGAAGGAGGCUCAGUCGGAUUGAACGCUCACUUCAAUGAUGGACGCUCUGGACCGCCUUCACCCUCAAACACCAUGGCACAGCUCGCCCCCCUGGAAGCCUCCCUGGAAGCUUUCUUCAGGAAAUUAUACAAGUGCGCUGGCAGUGGAAAUGCCAAGACCCUCAGUGAGAAAAUGCUAACCGACAUCAUAAAGGCAACAUAGCUGCUCAAUGAGGGUUAGUCUAGACCAUAAGGGGGUUCCUGAAGUGUGGGACCCUUAUGCCGGUGUUGGACCAGAACACUGAUGGCCCUGUGGACUUAAAGGAGUACAUCAACCCUGAUCGAAUCCCAUGCCUGCAUGUGCAAAUGGCUCCUGGAAGGAAUAUAUGAUUGCAUGUCAUUGAAGACCUGCCUGCUCCCAUUUGCUUUCUACAGCAUAUUAACAUAUUAUAAUGACUCAUUUGAUGGGGUUACUGCCUGUGUCUUCGCAUGCACACCCUAGCGCCGGCCUGCACACACACUGACACACACCAACAUACAGACACAAGGGUUUGCAUUACUCUUGACAAUCCGAUUCACAUGGAUUCUCUUGACAGAAAGAAACUGAGCGUGUUGCGAUGCCAGGAUAUUGGGAUUGGUUCCUGCAACAAUCAUACAUGAAAUGUUUGCAUGCAUGCCUGUAGAUCAUUUUUCAUGAAAGCGUCUGCUAAAUGGCAUAAAGUUAAUGGUAUAUAUAUAUAUAUUAUAGCAUUGUAUUGAUAAAUUAGAUCAAGAAUGCUGCUAAACAAAGCAUGUAAAAAAGAUGUGUAGGCUGUGGAUAAAUCUAUAUUUACUGUGUUAUGCAUGCCUACCAUAAUUCAAUCUGCCUGGAAUUUUUUGUAUGUUUUAAUUUACUGCUAAUAAAUGAGCAGAAGACUCAAACAAAUAUUGACUCUUGUAAAGAAAUUAGCUUUCCUCCCAUUAUUCAUAAACAUUUGUAAUCCCCGC
This is a long non-coding RNA of Esox lucius (northern pike), 5269 nucleotides long. NCBI's taxonomy places the organism in Eukaryota, Metazoa, Chordata, Actinopteri, Esociformes, Esocidae. The record is from Ensembl.